UUAGAUGUAGCAUAACUCAAAUGUAACCGUUUUCGGCGCGGUGGAUGGGUUAGUUCCCCUUCUAUU
This 66-nucleotide transfer RNA is filed under the name Cerastoderma edule. RNAcentral describes it as "tRNA-Arg". The record is from RNAcentral. Lineage: Eukaryota; Metazoa; Mollusca; Bivalvia; Cardiida; Cardiidae.